Molecule: small nucleolar RNA, 124 nt
Organism: Gorilla gorilla gorilla (western lowland gorilla)
Lineage: Eukaryota; Metazoa; Chordata; Mammalia; Primates; Hominidae
Source: Ensembl
UGGUAAUUACCAAGAUUUUUAGAAUGCAGUUUCUCAUUUGCCAUGGACAUGACCAUAAAAUAAUUUCCCACUAGAUUUUUUUUUAUCUGUUACCUUGCUAGCAAGCAGUCUAUUGGGAACAUUU